This 1400-nucleotide ribosomal RNA is filed under the name Streptococcus salivarius. Its description in RNAcentral is "bacterial SSU rRNA". It matches the Rfam family "Bacterial small subunit ribosomal RNA". Lineage: Bacteria; Bacillati; Bacillota; Bacilli; Lactobacillales; Streptococcaceae. The record is from RNAcentral.
AAGAGAGGAGCUUGCUCUUCUUGGAUGAGUUGCGAACGGGUGAGUAACGCGUAGGUAACCUGCCUUGUAGCGGGGGAUAACUAUUGGAAACGAUAGCUAAUACCGCAUAACAAUGGAUGACACAUGUCAUUUAUUUGAAAGGGGCAAUUGCUCCACUACAAGAUGGACCUGCGUUGUAUUAGCUAGUAGGUGAGGUAACGGCUCACCUAGGCGACGAUACAUAGCCGACCUGAGAGGGUGAUCGGCCACACUGGGACUGAGACACGGCCCAGACUCCUACGGGAGGCAGCAGUAGGGAAUCUUCGGCAAUGGGGGCAACCCUGACCGAGCAACGCCGCGUGAGUGAAGAAGGUUUUCGGAUCGUAAAGCUCUGUUGUAAGUCAAGAACGAGUGUGAGAGUGGAAAGUUCACACUGUGACGGUAGCUUACCAGAAAGGGACGGCUAACUACGUGCCAGCAGCCGCGGUAAUACGUAGGUCCCGAGCGUUGUCCGGAUUUAUUGGGCGUAAAGCGAGCGCAGGCGGUUUGAUAAGUCUGAAGUUAAAGGCUGUGGCUCAACCAUAGUUCGCUUUGGAAACUGUCAAACUUGAGUGCAGAAGGGGAGAGUGGAAUUCCAUGUGUAGCGGUGAAAUGCGUAGAUAUAUGGAGGAACACCGGUGGCGAAAGCGGCUCUCUGGUCUGUAACUGACGCUGAGGCUCGAAAGCGUGGGGAGCGAACAGGAUUAGAUACCCUGGUAGUCCACGCCGUAAACGAUGAGUGCUAGGUGUUGGAUCCUUUCCGGGAUUCAGUGCCGCAGCUAACGCAUUAAGCACUCCGCCUGGGGAGUACGACCGCAAGGUUGAAACUCAAAGGAAUUGACGGGGGCCCGCACAAGCGGUGGAGCAUGUGGUUUAAUUCGAAGCAACGCGAAGAACCUUACCAGGUCUUGACAUCCCGAUGCUAUUUCUAGAGAUAGAAAGUUACUUCGGUACAUCGGUGACAGGUGGUGCAUGGUUGUCGUCAGCUCGUGUCGUGAGAUGUUGGGUUAAGUCCCGCAACGAGCGCAACCCCUAUUGUUAGUUGCCAUCAUUCAGUUGGGCACUCUAGCGAGACUGCCGGUAAUAAACCGGAGGAAGGUGGGGAUGACGUCAAAUCAUCAUGCCCCUUAUGACCUGGGCUACACACGUGCUACAAUGGUUGGUACAACGAGUUGCGAGUCGGUGACGGCAAGCUAAUCUCUUAAAGCCAAUCUCAGUUCGGAUUGUAGGCUGCAACUCGCCUACAUGAAGUCGGAAUCGCUAGUAAUCGCGGAUCAGCACGCCGCGGUGAAUACGUUCCCGGGCCUUGUACACACCGCCCGUCACACCACGAGAGUUUGUAACACCCGAAGUCGGUGAGGUAACCUUUUGGAGCCAGCCGC